Long non-coding RNA from Bombus huntii, 1744 nucleotides. RefSeq lists it as uncharacterized. The record is from RefSeq and is a predicted model, not a curated record. The transcript is spliced from 3 exons. NCBI's taxonomy places the organism in Eukaryota, Metazoa, Arthropoda, Insecta, Hymenoptera, Apidae.
UCGGAGGUAUUCGCCGCGGAAGUACAUCACUCGGGAUUAUUGCGUCAGGUGAAUCCGUUGCGGGCCGCGCGACGUAACCUCGACGAAUGUUCGCGUGUGAACGCGUGGACAGUUCACUUCUAUAACGAGUGUUGCGGUUCUGGUCAAUGGGAUACGAUUAAACUGUCGUCGAUAGCGAAGUUACAGGUUGUCAUCGGCGAAAGUAUCGGCCUGGUGUCGUUCGUGAUUCUGCGACGAGCCCAGCAGUUUGUGUGAAAUUUUGGUGUGACGGCAAUUUUCGAAAAACCAAUGCCGCGCCGUUCCUGGCGUUUUCGAAAGUUUCUGGCGGCAUUCAACGAGUGAGGCAGGGUUUAUACGUACAUGCAACUCUCCGUGAGCUUGGCUGCCAGUCCGAAAAGCCACGAAGAAUACAUUUAACUGUUUGCUCAGCAAGUUCUCUUCACAUGCUUCCUCAUCUCGACCAAGAAAAACGCUGUUCGCUCGAGUCACGUUAUUAUUCUCACAAACGUGUUCGAUUCUCGUCGUAGAAGCGCUUCUACAAGAACCAACGUGGAACGACUGCAAAAUACGUGGAUGUUGACCAGAACCAACGCGUUUUCCAUCCUCCCAACAUCGAACACAUCUUCGUCUCUUUCUCCCUCACCCUCGUUUCCUGCUACCCUCCACGAUUCGCUCUUUUGAAUUUUUAUUUCCAGCGUAAUACCAGGCAAUCGAAUCCAACCUGACGCACACGCGGAAUCUGGUUCUACGUGAUUAACGUUUAAUUAUAAUUACGGGUCAUUGAUGCCGAUAAACUGGCGUAUGGUGUCCCAUUACCAUCGACGGUGAUUACACGCGAGACACGGUGUCGCAUUCGCGCUGAAUAUCCUCCUGAGAUUAAAAAAAAAAAAAAAAAAUGAGUCUCUGAUCCAAGGUAAAACGUCAUUCCGGCGAACGAGAAAAUUUCGAUUAAGCCACUGCCGAUUGCACGUACGCGUUAAAAAAAAUUUUCUCUUCUUUUUUAUUUUCAUUCGCGUUCCUCUGUCCUCUCAUUAUACGCCGUCUCUCUUUCUUUCUUCUUUUUUUUCGUCGUCGCGGUAGUUUUAAAAUGGCCAUUUAAAGAAUUUAGCGUAUAUUGCGCGUAUGAAUUUUACGCCCGGUGAAAGUGAUUUAAAUUCGAUACGUUCCCGCGGCUGUGGCACAUUACAAUGAAAAUUUAUUCAACGAUCGAAUUUAAUUAUUCUCACGGAAACUGGCCGAAAUUUGUUCGCGUUUUUCAGGGUAUUUAGCCAUUGGAUAUAUAGGGGGAAAAAGACACGUGCACGGGGUAAGCGUGUCAUAGAGUGCAGCUGUUUCUUCUGUUCGCCGAAAUCCGCUGCCGAAUGUCUUUGAGGAUAAAUAAAAUUGUAUUUACACACACCUGUGUUUUAUGAGAAGAUCGUCUUGGUCAUUUAUAUGUACAAUAUUCUAUAUUAAUCGUGAAUUUUCUGGGACAUGCGAUCUUUACAGGAUACAUACGCACCGCUUUAUUAUCAUUUAUUUUAAAUUAAAAAUCUACCUAUUUGACUAUUAUGGAUGUUCUUAUACGAUUAACCCAGAUGUCAAUUAUAACAUUUAGAAACUAAUAUUUCUUACAAUCUUGUAGGACUAACGAGGGAAUUUUUAUGGACAGCUUUGAUAAUUUUAUAAAAUUUGAAGCAAAGUUAAGGAAUUUUUACUUCUCUUUGCUAACAGGCUUAUGCGUUUGUCAUAAAUUUUAAGCAUA